GCUAACUGCGGGGCAGCAGGUGGUAGAAGAGGGAGGUUGCAAGCGUUGAUCGGAAUUAACUGGCGUAAAGCGGACGUAGGCGGGUGACUAAGUCGGAUGUGAAAUCCCCGGGCUUAACCUGGGAACUGCAUCCGAUACUGGUCGCCUAGAGUAUGGAAGAGGGAAGCGGAAUUCCAGGUGUAGCGGUGAAAUGCGUAGAUAUCUGGAGGAACAUCAGUGGCGAAGGCGGCUUCCUGGUCCAAUACUGACGCUGAGGUGCGAAAGCGUGGGGAGCAAACAGGAUUAGAUACCCUAGUAGUC
RNAcentral lists this ribosomal RNA (300 nucleotides) under uncultured Methanopyrus sp. RNAcentral describes it as "partial 16S ribosomal RNA". It matches the Rfam family "Bacterial small subunit ribosomal RNA", at positions 496 to 795 of the family's 1533-position model. Lineage: Archaea; Methanobacteriati; Methanobacteriota; Methanopyri; Methanopyrales; Methanopyraceae. The record is from RNAcentral.